This 465-nucleotide ribosomal RNA is filed under the name uncultured bacterium. Its description in RNAcentral is "partial 16S ribosomal RNA". It matches the Rfam family "Bacterial small subunit ribosomal RNA", at positions 28 to 507 of the family's 1533-position model. The record is from RNAcentral.
GACGAACGCUGGCGGCGUGCUUAACACAUGCAAGUCGAACGGAAAGGCCCUGCUUGCCGGGUACUCGAGUGGCGAACGGGUGAGUAACACGUGGGUGAUCUGCCCUGCACUUCGGGAUAAGCCUGGGAAACUGGGUCUAAUACCGGAUAGGAGCCAUUUUUAGUGUGAUGGUUGGAAAGUUUUUUCGGUGUAGGAUGAGCUCGCGGCCUAUCAGCUUGUUGGUGGGGUAAUGGCCUACCAAGGCGGCGACGGGUAGCCGGCCUGAGAGGGUGGACGGCCACAUUGGGACUGAGAUACGGCCCAAACUCCUACGGGAGGCAGCAGUGGGGAAUAUUGCACAAUGGGCGCAAGCCUGAUGCAGCGACGCCGCGUGGGGGAUGACGGCCUUCGGGUUGUAAACGCCUUUCGCUAGGGACGAAGCUUUUUGUGACGGUACCUAGAUAAGAAGCACCGGCUAACUACGUG